Molecule: long non-coding RNA, 1036 nt
Filed under: Mytilus galloprovincialis (Mediterranean mussel)
Lineage: Eukaryota; Metazoa; Mollusca; Bivalvia; Mytilida; Mytilidae
Source: RNAcentral
AUUUUUUAUCAGAUUUAUACAGUCUUUUACAAUGGAAGGUUUAGACAGGGAUACCAGAAUAAAACUGUAUGAUUUAAACUAUAUUAAUUUCAACUAUCAAUUUUCAAAUAUGAUUUUUGGAGUUAAUGGUAGCUGCUGUGGAUAACUAUUCUGAAGACAAAUCAGUUCACAUGAUAUUUCUUUUGAAAUGGAUUAUAAAAUAAAAAUUUAAACUAGUUUGAUAAUUAAUAACAAUAAACAAUGUAAAAAUAAUCAAAAAAUAUUUCAAAAACCAUUACAUAAAAUUAUUAAUCAAUAACUGAAUUACUAUGUUGAAUACCUGAGAAUAUAAAAAACAUUAAUGUAGUAUUUUCUUUAAGGAAUGACUGUCAUAUUUUUUCUGUCUAUGAAAAAAUAACAUAAAAAAUUUGGUGCACACUGAAUAACACAUGCAGCGGGUUAUUUAACAGUGCACACCACAUUUUUUUAUGUUAUUUCGUAUAGACAGACAAAAUAUUAGUCAUUUCUUAUAAUUUAAUUCUAAAUCCAUUUUAAACCGUAGAAAACCAUGAAAAAACGUUGAUGACAUCACAGUCACAUGACUAAAUUAUGUCUAUGGGCUGAUAACAAAAUAACGUCAGCCAAUCAGAAGAUGUGUUACAUCUAAAAUUAAAUUCUAAUAAUAUAAAAGUAAUUAAGACACUAAAAUUGGAACAGUCUUGACAUAAUAUCUAAGAUGAAAUAUGAAUAAUAGUUUGCAUAUUUUUCAAAUAUCUAGAUUAAAAAAAUACAUAUUCAUUUAGACUAUUUCUACUUAAACUGCAAACAUGCUAAGGAUUGGUAUGAAAUAUUGCUGAGCAUAAUAUAGGUUUUACAAAAAAAUGUUCAAAGAAAGGUAAAAUUUUCUUCCUCACAUUGUUUCAUAGUAUGCAGGAAUUUAAUAACUAAGGAUAGUAUUCACUUAAGACAUUGAUAAUAGUUUACAUGCUGCAAAUAAUAUUUUCAAGCUGAGAUUUUCUUACAUGCAAUUCACAGUGAAAAAUCACCCGAAAAAAAA